GAGGCAACACCCAGAGCUGCUUGAUGUGGUCUGGGCAGGCACAGGGACACAUCUGGGGUGAAGGAUGAGGCAGAGAAGCAGGACUGGGGAUGCCAGUCAGGUGCUUUUGUUGCAUUUGGGGAAAGCAGAGAUGGAUUACUUCCCAGUGAAUUGUGCUGCAGAAAUGUGGAGACUCCUUGGCUGCCUCUCAGCAAGCCCCUGGAGGGAGGAGCAGAAUAUCCAAGUGGACGCUGGGCAGAGCAGGGGAAGUGAAAUCAGCUUUUCAUCCUUCUCCACGCAUCAGCAGCUGGCAGCUACAUCUUCAGUGCCUUGUCAUGCUGACGGGUCUCCUGCAGGGAUUGCAUAGAUGUGUCCCUGGGGCUGCAGGACAUGCUGGGACUUCCAGAUGAACCUUUCCAGGCAGAAGCAGAGUGGUGUGCUCGCUGUGAUGAGGAAAGAGGCUGGGAGAAGCUUGCAUUUAAUAAAAAAGGCAUCAAGUAAGGGCUGCUGUGAAUUAGGCAGGUUGUGCUAAAUAGUAUUGGCAGUGCAAGCUGCCUUUUAAAUGUGUAUAAUUCAUGUGCACAAACACACACGGUCUGCAGUCGCUGUCUUGCUGCCUGCAAGAAUUGAGGACAAAUACCAGGAAUAUUAAAUGAUGGUGAUGAGCAAGUGAC
Molecule: long non-coding RNA, 653 nt
Organism: Lonchura striata (white-rumped munia)
Lineage: Eukaryota; Metazoa; Chordata; Aves; Passeriformes; Estrildidae
Source: RefSeq, a predicted model, not a curated record